CUAGCAGUAAAAGGGUUAAAGUAAAACUGUUUUUAAUACUGCAGUAGGGGGUUCUCUGUUGCUGUUUGAAUCAUUCACCAAGUCUAUACAGAAACAUGAGAGCCUUGGUGGGAGAGUAUUGUAUGCUACUAAAAUGGUCUGUGGCUAAGGGACAACUUUACAGCAUAAACAAAUUAUGAGACUUCACACAUCUUAAUAAGGAUGCCAGCUUUUCCUGACAUGAAUCUGUAAAUAUUUUUAUCAAACUUUUGUCAGCCAGCUUCUGAAAUUCAAAUUCUCCAAGGUUGAACAUUUACUUUUCCCAUCUCUAUUUCAUAUGUUAAUUAUUCUCUUGAAAUGAGAAGCAUCAGAAAGAAAUGCUAGAGCUUCUUUUUUUCUUUUCUUUUUUCUUUUUUUUUUUUUUUUGCUACAGAAGAUCUGUACUGCACAGAGAACACGCUUCAGACAAUGAAAAAUGAAGGAGCAACAAGCUGUUUCUUACAAGAGCAACAGGGACGGUGUAGCAUUUCUUGAAAGAAGAGAAGCAUUGGCAAUGCAAGGGAGAAAGUUUUGUUUUGAGCAGUGGAGAUAGAUGAAUCAGGACAAGGAGAGGAAGGGAAGGCAGAAGAAAAGCAAAGGAGAAUGGAGGGGUCUGAAAUGAAGGCAAUGUGAUUAGAAUUUUGAUGAAGAGGCAUUGACAAGAUGAAAGAUCUUUCUCUCUCGCUCCCUCUCCCUCUCAUUUCCAGUGGGUAAAAUCUGUCCUGUUGACACACACUUGUUCUCUUUAUACAACACAACUCUGGAACAAAUAGGAUUCAUGAUCAAUGGUAGUGGCAUGGCCCGAGUGACAGAUCCCUGCCUGGGAGGAUGGCUAAGCAGCUGCCUCUCUUCCUCCUUCACUCUUCACCAAUUCAGGAAUUUUCAAACUGUUGUGAGUUCUCUUAUUUUAUGAUUCCUAUAACUAAAUAAAAAUAUGUACUGCGUGUGACAACAUAUGUACAUAUCCCAGAAUGAAAUGGAUUUGAGGAUUUUAAGCUUUCUGCCUCACAACAUGCAUCAUUAAAGCUUAUUCAUCAAGACUAA
Alligator mississippiensis (American alligator) is the source of this 1062-nucleotide long non-coding RNA. RefSeq lists it as uncharacterized. NCBI's taxonomy places the organism in Eukaryota, Metazoa, Chordata, Crocodylia, Alligatoridae. The transcript is spliced from 2 exons. The record is from RefSeq and is a predicted model, not a curated record.